GCUAGCGGCAGGCUUACACAUGCAAGUCGAGGGGUAUAGAGAGCUUGCUCUCUAGAGACCGGCGCACGGGUGCGUAACGCGUAUGCAAUCUACCUUUUACAAAGGGAUAGCCCAGAGAAAUUUGGAUUAAUACCUUAUAGUAUUAAGUUUUGGCAUCAAGAUUUAAUUAAAGAUUUAUCGGUAAAAGAUGAGCAUGCGUCCCAUUAGCUAGUUGGUAAGGUAACGGCUUACCAAGGCAACGAUGGGUAGGGGUCCUGAGAGGGAGAUCCCCCACACUGGUACUGAGACACGGAUCAGACUCCUACGGGAGGCAGCAGUGAGGAAUAUUGGUCAAUGGACGCAAGUCUGAACCAGCCAUGCCGCGUGCAGGAUGACGGUCCUAUGGAUUGUAAACUGCUUUUGUACAGGAAGAAACCCUACUUCGUGAAGUAGAUUGACGGUACUGUAAGAAUAAGGAUCGGCUAACUCCGUGCCAGCAGCCGCGGUAAUACGAAGGAUCCAAGCGUUAUCCGGAAUCAUUGGGUUUAAAGGGUCCGUAGGCGGCUUAGCAAGUCAGUGGUGAAAUCUCCCCGCUCAACGGGGAAACGGCCAUUGAUACUACUAGGCUUGAAUUAUUAGGAAGUAACUAGAAUAUGUAGUGUAGCGGUGAAAUGCUUAGAUAUUACAUGGAAUACCAAUUGCGAAGGGCAGGUUACUACUAAUAUAUUGACGCUGAUGGACGAAAGCGUGGGGAGCGAACAGGAUUAGAUACCCUGGUAGUCCACGCCGUAA
Molecule: ribosomal RNA, 771 nt
Filed under: uncultured Flavobacteriales bacterium
Lineage: Bacteria; Pseudomonadati; Bacteroidota; Flavobacteriia; Flavobacteriales
Description: bacterial SSU rRNA
Rfam family: Bacterial small subunit ribosomal RNA
Source: RNAcentral